Molecule: transfer RNA, 102 nt
Filed under: Alteraurantiacibacter buctensis
Lineage: Bacteria; Pseudomonadati; Pseudomonadota; Alphaproteobacteria; Sphingomonadales; Erythrobacteraceae
Description: Altererythrobacter buctensis tRNA-Ser
Source: RNAcentral
GCGGGUCUUGGGUAUCGUUUACACCUUUUUAGGUGCAAUUACAAUACUAACAGUUGAUUUGUAAUCAUCAGGCCAGGGGUUCGAAUCCUCUAACCGGCACCA